CCUACGGGUGGCAGCAGUGAGGAAUAUUGGUCAAUGGGCGCGACCCUGAACCAGCCACGUAGCGUGAAGGAUGACUGCUCUACGGGUUGUAAACUUCUUUUAUAAAGGAAUAAAGUGAGGCACGUGUGCCUUUUUGUAUGUACUUUAUGAAUAAGGAUCGGCUAACUCCAUGCCAGCAGACGCGGUAAUACGGAGGCUCCGAGCGUUAGCCGGAUUUAUUGGGUUUAAAGGGAGCGUAGAUGGGUUGUUAAGUCCGUUGUGAAAGUUUGCGGCUCAAACGUAAAAUUGCAAUUGAUACUGGCAGCCUUGAGUACAGUUGAGGUAGGCGGAAUUCGUGGUGUAGCGGUGAAAUGCUUAGAUAUCACGAAGAACUCCGAUUGCGAAGGCAGCUUACUAAACGGCCACUGACAUUGAUGCUCGAAAGUGUGGGUAUCAAACAGGAUUAGAUACCCUUGUAGUC
RNAcentral lists this ribosomal RNA (460 nucleotides) under uncultured bacterium. RNAcentral describes it as "partial 16S ribosomal RNA". It matches the Rfam family "Bacterial small subunit ribosomal RNA", at positions 338 to 795 of the family's 1533-position model. The record is from RNAcentral.